RNAcentral lists this ribosomal RNA (536 nucleotides) under Aspergillus aff. fumigatus E3. RNAcentral describes it as "eukaryotic LSU rRNA". The stretch from base 173 to 326 matches the Rfam family "5.8S ribosomal RNA". The record is from RNAcentral. Lineage: Eukaryota; Fungi; Ascomycota; Eurotiomycetes; Eurotiales; Aspergillaceae.
GGCUCUGGGUCACCUCCCACCCGUGUCUAUCGUACCUUGUUGCUUCGGCGGGCCCGCCGUUUCGACGGCCGCCGGGGAGGCCUCGCGCCCCCGGGCCCGCGCCCGCCGAAGACCCCAACAUGAACGCUGUUCUGAAAGUAUGCAGUCUGAGUUGAUUAUCAUAAUCAGUUAAAACUUUCAACAACGGAUCUCUUGGUUCCGGCAUCGAUGAAGAACGCAGCGAAAUGCGAUAAGUAAUGUGAAUUGCAGAAUUCAGUGAAUCAUCGAGUCUUUGAACGCACAUUGCGCCCCCUGGUAUUCCGGGGGGCAUGCCUGUCCGAGCGUCAUUGCUGCCCUCAAGCACGGCUUGUGUGUUGGGCCCCGUCCCCUCCCCCGGGGACGGGCCCGAAAGGCAGCGGCGGCACCGCGUCCGAUCCUCGAGCGUAUGGGGCUUUGUCACCCGCUCUGUAGGCCCGGCCGGCGCCAGCCGACACCCAACUUUUAUUUCUAAGGUUGACCUCGGAUCAGGUAGGGAUACCCGCUGAACUUAAGCAUAU